UCUCCGUUGGUGAACCAGCGGAGGGAUCAUUACAGGACUCGCAAGACUCCUUCACCCUGUGAACCUCACUACAAGCACGUUGCUUCGGCGGUGUCCCGGCGGGGGUUUUCCCUCGCCGGGGCGCACAGCCCGCCGGCAGCCUACUAUACUCUGUCCCUUUGCGUUGGCAUCUCGAGAAAAAACAAACAAGUUAAAACUUUCAACAACGGAUCUCUUGGUUCUG
This 223-nucleotide unclassified non-coding RNA is filed under the name plant metagenome. RNAcentral describes it as "partial contains small subunit ribosomal RNA, internal transcribed spacer 1, and 5.8S ribosomal RNA". The record is from RNAcentral.